AGAGUUUGAUCCUGGCUCAGGAUGAACGCUAGCGGCAGGCCUAACACAUGCAAGUCGAACGGUAAGGACUUGUUUGUGGGUUAUAUGAGUGGUGUAUGGGUGAGUAACGCGUAUGCAACCUACCCUUAACAGGGGGAUAGCCCGAAGAAAUUCGGAUUAAUACCCCAUAACAUCACGUUAUUGCAUAAUAAUGUGAUUAAAACUCCGGUGGUUAAGGAUGGGCAUGCGUGACAUUAGAUUGUUGGUGAGGUAAUGGUUUAUUAAGUUAGUGAUGUUUAGGGGGUUUGAGAGGGUAGUUUUUUAUAUUGGUAUUGAGAUAUGGAUUAGAUUUUUAUGGGAGGCAGCAGUGAGGAAUAUUGCGCAAUGGACGAAAGUCUGACGCAGCCAUGCCGCGUGCAGGAUGACGGCCCUAUGGGUUGUAAACUGCUUUUUUACAGGAAGAAAUUUUUUGAUGUGUUGGGAAUUGAUGGUACUGUAUGAAUAAGCACCGGCUAACUCCGUGCCAGUAGUUGUGGUAAUACGGAGGGUGCAAGCGUUAUCCGGAUUUAUUGGGUUUAAAGGGCGCGUAGGCGGGAUAAUAAGUCAGUGGUGAAAUAUUGUAGUUUAAUUGUAGAAUUGCCAUUGAUACUGUUAUUCUUGAGUGCGAUUGAGGUAGGCGGAAUGUGUAAUGUAGUGGUGAGAUGUUUGGAUAUUACACAGAAUAUUGAUUGUGUAGGUAGCUUACUAAGUCGUAACUGACGCUGAGGCACGAAAGCGUGGGGAUCGAACAGGAUUAGAUAUCCUGGUAGUCCACGCUGUAAACGAUGAUCACUAGCUGUUGGCGAUAUAUUGAUCAGCGGCAAAGCGAAAGCAUUAAGUGAUCCACCUGGGGAGUACGAUCGUAAGAUUGAAACUCAAAGGAAUUGAUGGGGGUUUGUAUAAGUGAGGAAUAUGUGGUUUAAUUUGAUGAUAUGUGAGGAACCUUACCUGGGCUUAAAUGCAGGACGACGUACUGGGAAACUAGUACUCCCCUCGGGGCGGACUGCAAGGUGCUGCAUGGUUGUCGUCAGCUCGUGCCGUGAGGUGUCGGGUUAAGUCCCAUAACGAGCGCAACCCCUAUCGUUAGUUGCCAGCGGAUUAUGUUGGGGAUUCUAACGAAACUGCCGGUGUAAACCGAGAGGAAGGUGGGGAUGACGUCAAAUCAGCACGGCCCUUAUGUUUAGGGUUACACACGUGUUACAAUGGUCGGUACAGAGGGUAGCUAUCUGGUUAUAGGAUGCUAAUCUCGAAAGCCGGUCUUAGUUCGGAUCGAAGUCUGUAAUUUGACUUCGUGAAGCUGGAUUUGUUAGUAAUCACGCAUUAGUUAUGGUGCGGUGAAUAUGUUUUUGGGUUUUGUACACACCGCCCGUUAAGUUAUGGAAGUUGGGGGUAUUUGAAGUUUUGUAAUUGUAAGGAGUGGUUUAGGGUAAAAUUAGUGAUUGGGGUUAAGUUGUAAUAAGGUA
Molecule: ribosomal RNA, 1481 nt
Filed under: metagenome
Description: bacterial SSU rRNA
Rfam family: Bacterial small subunit ribosomal RNA
Source: RNAcentral